GUCGAGCGGUAACAGAUCUAGCUUGCUAGAUGCUGACGAGCGGCGGACGGGUGAGUAANGCAUAGGAAUCUGCCCGAUAGUGGGGGAUAACCUGGGGAAACCCAGGCUAAUACCGCAUACGUCCUACGGGAGAAAGGGGGCUUCGGCUCCCGCUAUUGGAUGAGCCUAUGUCGGAUUAGCUAGUUGGUGAGGUAAUGGCUCACCAAGGCAACGAUCCGUAGCUGGUCUGAGAGGAUGAUCAGCCACAUCGGGACUGAGACACGGCCCGAACUCCUACGGGAGGCAGCAGUGGGGAAUAUUGGACAAUGGGCGAAAGCCUGAUCCAGCCAUGCCGCGUGUGUGAAGAAGGCCCUCGGGUUGUAAAGCACUUUCAGCGAGGAAGAACGCCUAGUGGUUAAUACCCAUUAGGAAAGACAUCACUCGCAGAAGAAGCACCGGCUAACUCCGUGCCAGCAGCCGCGGUAAUACGGAGGGUGCAAGCGUUAAUCGGAAUUACUGGGCGUAAAGCGCGCGUAGGUGGCUUGAUAAGCCGGUUGUGAAAGCCCCGGGCUCAACCUGGGAACGGCAUCCGGAACUGUCAAGCUAGAGUGCAGGAGAGGAAGGUAGAAUUCCCGGUGUAGCGGUGAAAUGCGUAGAGAUCGGGAGGAAUACCAGUGGCGAAGGCGGCCUUCUGGACUGACACUGACACUGAGGUGCGAAAGCGUGGGUAGCAAACAGGAUUAGAUACCCUGGUAGUCCACGCCCUAAACGAUGUCGACCAGCCGU
Molecule: ribosomal RNA, 765 nt
Filed under: Halomonas sp. M12-20A
Lineage: Bacteria; Pseudomonadati; Pseudomonadota; Gammaproteobacteria; Oceanospirillales; Halomonadaceae
Description: bacterial SSU rRNA
Rfam family: Bacterial small subunit ribosomal RNA
Source: RNAcentral